GCUUACAGCCAUAUCACGUUGAAAGCCCCGGUUCUCGUCUGAUCACCGAAGUUAAGCAACAUCGAGCCAAGUUAGUACUUAGAUGGGUCACCACUUGGGAAACCUAGGUGCUGUAAGCA
Molecule: ribosomal RNA, 119 nt
Filed under: Octopus vulgaris (common octopus)
Lineage: Eukaryota; Metazoa; Mollusca; Cephalopoda; Octopoda; Octopodidae
Also listed under: 1 other name
Source: RNAcentral